Non-coding RNA from Oryza glaberrima (African rice), 203 nucleotides. NCBI's taxonomy places the organism in Eukaryota, Viridiplantae, Streptophyta, Magnoliopsida, Poales, Poaceae. The record is from Rfam.
AAAAAGACAAAUCCUGGUUUCCGUGUCCAACGUUUGACCGUCCGUCUUAUUUAAAAUAAUUAUAUAAAAAAUUAAAAAGAUAAGUUACGUAUAAAAUAUUAAUCAUGUUUUAUUAUCUAAUAACAAUGAAAUAUAAAUUAUAAAAAUUUUAUAUAAGACGGACAGUUAAACGUUGGCACGAAAAUUCAGGAUUUGCAUUUUUU